RNAcentral lists this long non-coding RNA (972 nucleotides) under Naja naja (Indian cobra). Its description in RNAcentral is "lncRNA (ENSNNAG00000018545.1)". The record is from RNAcentral. Lineage: Eukaryota; Metazoa; Chordata; Lepidosauria; Squamata; Elapidae.
CGAGGGUGCUCCAACACUGGAGAGAUUGGACAGCCAUUUCUCUGAAAUAGUACAGGGCUUCCUGCUUCCAACUCUGUUGUUCUCUUCUCUGCUCAAGGAAUGGAAUGUGAAUCUAGAUACGUCUUUGGCCUGAUUCUGAUGUACACAGGUGAUGGAUGAAUCGUGGGAUCUGCUUCUGUCUAAAGAACUGGGGAAGACAACAGUGAACCUGGAUGAAGCUCCAAGCAAAUUACGGAAGAAUUCAUUGGAUGCAUUAGCAACACCCUGGGAAGACCAGAUGUGACCAGAAUUGUUUCAAGGAAUUGACGUAUUUUCCCCCUCCAUCAGCACUGACGUAUUUUUUUUUUUCAAAAUGAUUGGCAGCUUCUCUCUUCUCUUGGAUCAACUGUGAGGCUUCGGGUUCCCGAGACAAUUUUUUUUUUUAAUAUUGGUGCAUCCAGCGAGUGAAACAUUUCCAUAGUUAGAUACUGGACUGCCUUUCCACCCCCCGCUCCCCUCUUCUGCUUGCAAAAAUACUUUUUUUCUCUGCUGUAAAAAGAUAAGUGGGCUUUUUUCAACAGGUGAAUGAACCAGAUAAAACACCACCGACUGUCAAUUUUAACAUUUGGGAAAAAAAAAAAAGAAAAUAUGGUGAAUUAGAAAAAUAGGAGCCUACCAAUCUAAGCAGACCCCACAAAAGAGCUUUCUGUGUAAUAAUAAUAACAAUAACAACAACAACAACAACAAUAACAACAACAACAACAAUAAUAAUAAUGGUACUCAGCACACUGGGUGCUGUGCCUAAAGACCUAGGCAAGCACUUAAAAACAAUUGGCGCUGACAAGAUCACCAUUGGUCAGCUGCAGAAGGCCACCUUACUGGGAUCUGCUCGCAUAAUCCGCUGAUACAUCACGCAGUCCUAAACACUUGGGAAGUGUUCGACUAGUGAUUUGUGAUACGAAACGCAGCAUAGUUAUCUCAUUUGCUGUGUAC